CUACGGGGCGCUCCAGUGGGGAAUAUUGCACAAUGGACGAAAGUCUGAUGCAGCAACGCCGCGUGGAGGAUGACACAUUUCGGUGCGUAAACUCCUUUUAUAUAGGAAGAUAAUGACGGUACUAUAUGAAUAAGCGCCGGCUAACUCCGUGCCAGCAGCCGCGGUAAUACGGAGGGCGCAAGCGUUACUCGGAAUCACUGGGCGUAAAGAGCGUGUAGGCGGAUAGAUAAGUCAGGAGUGAAAUCCUAUGGCUCAACCAUAGAACUGCUCUUGAAACUGUCUAUCUAGAAUAUGGGAGAGGUAGAUGGAAUUUCUGGUGUAGGGGUAAAAUCCGUAGAGAUCAGAAGGAAUACCGAUUGCGAAGGCGAUCUACUGGAACAUUAUUGACGCUGAGACGCGAAAGCGUGGGGAGCAAACGGGAUUAGAUACCCCGGUAGUC
This 439-nucleotide ribosomal RNA is filed under the name uncultured bacterium. RNAcentral describes it as "partial 16S ribosomal RNA". It matches the Rfam family "Bacterial small subunit ribosomal RNA", at positions 339 to 795 of the family's 1533-position model. The record is from RNAcentral.